AUGAGCUCCAGUGCCACAGGAAGGGAAGCUGCUGGGGUACACGGCUGGGGAGGAGGUGGAGUGGGAUCACUCCUUUUGGCAGCAAGUAAUUAUUGGAUCAGCACCUGUGAGAGCAUUCCCAGAGCCUGCCUGACUUCAGUUUUCAUUUGUUAGGAAGCAUCAAUUCCCAUUCAUCAAGAAGGCAGCACCUGAGACACUUUGUAUCACCUAAGUACAAAUUAACACAACCAGCAUAUCUCACUGCAUUUCCAGCUUCCAGUUACAGUAGUAAGGUAAGCAAUUAGCAUACGGAAUGAGUAUCAAAUACUUAUGUGUACCAAAGGCAAGUUAGUCACAAAAAUCUCUACAAAUACCUUACAGACAAAACUAGCAGCAAACACUGCUAUCUUUACAAAAGAUUCGUUCAUGAGCACAACUGAUUGGGCAGCUAUCUGGAAAACAAGCCGAUAGCUACGUUACAAAAAUAGCCAAACAAAUAUUUGAUCAUAGUAACUGCAUGAACAAGUGUUAGAGAGAGAGAAGUAAGCAUGAUUCAGUUAGCACAAACUCCACUUAUACAAGAGUGCCUCCAAGCCACAGAACACGUAGCUUCAGUUUUACACUAAUAAUAAAUACUUCAGUCCAAUACA
RNAcentral lists this long non-coding RNA (629 nucleotides) under Cyanistes caeruleus (blue tit). Its description in RNAcentral is "lncRNA (ENSCCEG00000001278.1)". The record is from RNAcentral. Lineage: Eukaryota; Metazoa; Chordata; Aves; Passeriformes; Paridae.